Molecule: ribosomal RNA, 670 nt
Filed under: Trametes suaveolens
Lineage: Eukaryota; Fungi; Basidiomycota; Agaricomycetes; Polyporales; Polyporaceae
Description: eukaryotic LSU rRNA
Rfam family: 5.8S ribosomal RNA (bases 250-403)
Source: RNAcentral
GGAAGUAAAAGUCGUAACAAGGUUUCCGUAGGUGAACCUGCGGAAGGAUCAUUAUCGAGUUUUGAAAUGGGUUGUAGCUGGCUUCUCCGGAGGCAUGUGCACGCCCUGCUCAUCCACUCUACACCUGUGCACUUACUGUGGGUAUCGGGAGGUGUCGCGUCGUUUACGGCGAGGCGUUAACCGUGCCUACGUUUUACUACAAACGAUUCAGUAUCAGAAUGUGUAUUGCGAUGUAACGCAUCUAUAUACAACUUUCAGCAACGGAUCUCUUGGCUCUCGCAUCGAUGAAGAACGCAGCGAAAUGCGAUAAGUAAUGUGAAUUGCAGAAUUCAGUGAAUCAUCGAAUCUUUGAACGCACCUUGCGCUCCUUGGUAUUCCGAGGAGCAUGCCUGUUUGAGUGUCAUGAAAUUCUCAAACCCAUAAGUCUUUGCGGGCUUACGGGCUUUGGACUUGGAGGCUUGUCGGCGACCGUGAGGUCACAUCGACUCCUCUCAAAUGCAUUAGCUUGAUUCCUUGCGGAUCGGCUCUCGGUGUGAUAAUUGUCUACGCCGUGACCGUGAAGCGUUUUGGCAAGCUUCUAACCGUCUCUAACGAGACAGCUUACUUUGACCUCUGACCUCAAAUCAGGUAGGACUACCCGCUGAACUUAAGCAUAUCAAUAAGCGGAGGA